This is a long non-coding RNA of Heterocephalus glaber (naked mole-rat), 1475 nucleotides long. NCBI's taxonomy places the organism in Eukaryota, Metazoa, Chordata, Mammalia, Rodentia, Bathyergidae. The record is from Ensembl.
AAUGCCAAUGGGGCUUUGUGCCAACGAGAAAAUCAGUAGAGAGUAUAACAGAAUGAGGAGGAUGGCCAGAGUGGUUGUGGGGGUGACGUUUUACACAGGGAGGUCAAGGUGACAUUUGAGGAGUGGCCCCAAAGAAGUAAGGACACAGACCUGUGGGUACGUGAGCGCAGAAACAGCCCAGGUAAACGGCCCCCGAGGGAACUGCCCCGGCCAGGUCCACAGGUGACAGGGAGAGGAUUCAGGAGAAGAGAGAAGAGCCGAGAUGCCACGAAGCCAGUGUGUGCCUGGAAGGAUACAGCAGACGAGGGCUUGCGAAGUGUGGUCGAGAUUCUGUAUUUUAUUCCUAGUGAGAUGGAAGGAUGCUGAAGGGAUCCGAGCAGCGAAGUGAGGGAAUCUGACUGGUAAUUCAGAACCCAGGGCGCAGAAGUGGGGCAGGGAGGUAGGGUGGGAAAAUAGAAGGUGGGAACCUCCGCAGUUACGGUUCUGGGGACAAGGCAGUCCCAUUUGUGACGUGCUCUGCGGACAGUGGGGUGGCCUGGACAUUCGACGGAAGGCAGCAGGCGUACUGCCGUGGAGCCGGGGCUGGCCUCAGAGGGGGAGAAGGGUCGGGAGUUUGGACCUGCUGAGCCUGAACUAAAAGUGAAGCUAUCCGGGACACAGCCGGGACCCAGUGUGCUCUCCAGAGGGGCAGGGGAUCUGGCAGCAGGCGCAGAACAAGCUCUUGGGAGAAGUUCCGCCCAACGUCAGAGCGGGAACACGAGGGCACCCAGGGAGAAGUGUUGGAAAGCGGCCCUCCGAGAGCACGGGGCUGCACGUAAUGCCGUCUGCCUCGUCGUGACAGCAUGAAACCCUCACAAACGUGAUGCCCGAGCUUGGACUUCUCAGCCUCCGAAACGACACUCCCAAGAAUGUUUAGAGAACUCCAAGUAGUCAAGCUGCAACCAUGAGCCCUAUAAAACCAGCAGAAGGGCAUCACAUGCCGCACAUUCACAAGAACCGAUGGUGUCUUGUGUGAAGUCUGGAAGCCGGAUGGCCUUUGUAUGUGUAGAGGCAGACAACUGAUAGGCAUCUGCAGACAGCUUGCCCAGGAGCAGAGAGCAGAUGUUCAGUGAAUCUCCAUGUCUUUCAUAUCCCUUCCCUGGAUGUCUGUACUCAGUGGGAGAGCAGAGACCUGCGUGCUGGGCUCUCUAUUGCACUCCCAGAGCCCACGACAGCAUCAGUCACAAGAUAUGUGACUCAAAGCAACUCGUCUCUCUAUAAGCCUUGAGCUAAGCCUUGACUUCCAGACUGGCCAUCCGCUGACUACAUUUCAAGAAGCUAUGCUGGCCCAGGAGAACCCUGUCAACACAGCUGUAUUCCUUGUCCAUUAAUUACACUGUAAAUGUAACAAAGAAUUUUAUGUAUUGCUCACCACAAAUAUUUUUACCUAGACUUAUUGAAAGCUACUCUAACAUAAAGUCGGGGACCAAUCUCUG